AUCUCUUGGUUCUGGCAUCGAUGAAGAACGCAGCGAAAUGCGAUACGUAGUGUGAAUUGCAGAAUUCAGUGAAUCAUCGAAUCUUUGAACGCACAUUGCGCCCUUUGGUAUUCCAAAGGGCAUGCCUGUUCGAGCGUCAUUU
This 142-nucleotide ribosomal RNA is filed under the name Curvularia inaequalis. RNAcentral's name for it is "5.8S ribosomal RNA". It matches the Rfam family "5.8S ribosomal RNA". Rfam says of the family: 5.8S ribosomal RNA (5.8S rRNA) is a component of the large subunit of the eukaryotic ribosome. The record is from RNAcentral. Lineage: Eukaryota; Fungi; Ascomycota; Dothideomycetes; Pleosporales; Pleosporaceae.